UACGUAGGGUGCGAGCGUUAAUCGGAAUUACUGGGCGUAAAGCGUGCGCAGGCGGUUUGCUAAGACAGGUGUGAAAUCCCCGGGCUUAACCUGGGAACUGCGCUUGUAACUGGCAAGCUAGAGUGUGAGAGGGGUUAAGGGAAUUCCCGGUGUAAGGGUGAAAUCUGCAGAGAUCGGGAGGAACACCAGUCGCGAAGGCGCUUAACUGGCUCACAACUGACGCUCAGGGACGAAAGCUAGGGUAGCAAACGGG
Molecule: ribosomal RNA, 253 nt
Filed under: uncultured bacterium
Lineage: Bacteria
Description: partial 16S ribosomal RNA
Rfam family: Bacterial small subunit ribosomal RNA
Source: RNAcentral